GACGAACGCGGCGGCGUGCCUAAUACAUGCAAGUAGAACGCUGAAGAGAGGAGCUUGCUCUUCUUGGAUGAGUUGCGAACGGGUGAGUAACGCGUAGGUAACCUGCCUGGUAGCGGGGGAUAACUAUUGGAAACGAUAGCUAAUACCGCAUGACAUUGAUUAUCGCAUGAUAAUUAAUUGAAAGAUGCAAUUGCAUCACUACCAGAUGGACCUGCGUUGUAUUAGCUAGUUGGUGAGGUAACGGCUCACCAAGGCGACGAUACAUAGCCGACCUGAGAGGGUGAUCGGCCACACUGGGACUGAGACACGGCCCAGACUCCUACGGGAGGCAGCAGUAGGGAAUCUUCGGCAAUGGGGGGAACCCUGACCGAGCAACGCCGCGUGAGUGAAGAAGGUUUUCGGAUCGUAAAGCUCUGUUGUAAGAGAAGAACGGGUGUGAGAGUGGAAAGUUCACACUGUGACG
RNAcentral lists this ribosomal RNA (463 nucleotides) under Streptococcus sanguinis. Its description in RNAcentral is "bacterial SSU rRNA". It matches the Rfam family "Bacterial small subunit ribosomal RNA", at positions 28 to 474 of the family's 1533-position model. The record is from RNAcentral. Lineage: Bacteria; Bacillati; Bacillota; Bacilli; Lactobacillales; Streptococcaceae.